UUCAGACGAUUUCUACCCCUCAAUUUGGGUUUUGCGAAAUUAAUAGGUGUGUGCUAUGUGAUUUUGUAAGCAGAAUCGGGAUGGCGGUACAGAUCACCAAAGCUAUGAAGCCCCGCUUCGCUCUUCCAGGUUAUAAGUGGCGUAUGACUAUAGCAUAUGAUGGCACAAAAUUCUCAGGCUGGCAAUAUCAGCAGUCGUUACCAACCGUACAAUGCCUUGCGGAAAGAGCUCUAACUCAGACAACAAAGCUAGAAAGGAAGGAGCUAGGAUUGGUUGGUGCUAGUAGGACAGACACUGGAGUUCAUGCCUGGGGUCAGGUCUUUCUCAUCCUUCUGAAGACUUUUUUUUUUUUGGUAAAAUCCUUCUGAAGACUGGAACAAGCGUCUCUCAAUAACAAACAUAUACAACUCAACUCAGCCUUAUCCCUACUAAAUGGGAUUGGCUAGAUGGAUCCUUUUUCUCCAAUCAGCUCUAUUUAGCCAUACUUGUUUCUAGUCCUAAGCCAUGGAUGUAAUGAGCCAACAUAUGAUUUAUUAAGAUUUCAGGUGGCACACUUUGUUACUCCUUUCUACUAUAACAGUUUAGAGAGCAUUCAUGGAGCGCUUAAUGGUCUUCUUCCUUUUGAUAUCCGAGUUAGAGAGAUUAGUCCAGCACUACCUGAUUUCCAUGCUCGAUUUUCAUUGAAGAGUAAGGUAUCACUAUAAGAUAUAUAAUGACACCAUUAUGGACCCAUUCCAGAGAUUCUAUGCAUAUCAUAGUACUUAUAGACUGAACACCAUUGUCAUGAGGGAGGCUGCGAGGUAUUUCAUUGGAAAGCAUGACUUCUCUGCUUUCGCUAAUGCAUCGCUCAAUGAUCGAUUGCCAGAUCCUGUGAAGCAAAUUUUCCGUUUUAAUGUUGUUGAAAAGGUAAUUGUUUAACCCGUGCAAUAUUAUUAGUUUAGCAUGGGUCCUUGCUGCACCAUGUUGGGUCUUCAGUGAUCAGGCAAGAGGCACCAGUUGGUUUAUAUACUUAAGCUUGGUUGUUUGAAGUUGAAAUGCUAUCUCUGAUGGGACCAUGUAAUCGAAUUGUGUCGACUAAUAUUAUUCAAUGCAGCCAGUUGUUGAGCUUUGCUCAGUCCUGUUCCUUGAAGAUGAUUGAAUACUGGAUGUUUGAGGUCAUACCCUCAAUAAGAAUGAUGUACCUCAAUAAUAUUAGAUAAUAAUGGUGUGACAAUCUCAUGGUCUCUACAUCUAAUUUUUUUUUUCUUCUUUUGGAUGGAUAGCCUAUAGGUUAUUGAAUCGAUGCUUGAUUUGUUUGUCUAGGGAGCACUUUUGCAACUCGACCUUGAAGGCUCUGGUUUCUUAUAUAGACAAGUGCGGAACAUGGUCGCUUUGCUGCUUCAAAUUGGAAAGCAGGCAGUUCCUCCCGAUAUUGUCCCAAAAAUUUUGGUAACUAAAGAUUUGAAAGAACUUGCAAAGUAUACCUUGUCUGCCCCUCCCCAAGGAUUCUGCCUUAUAUCUGUCAAGUACAAUGAAGAGGUCCAACAGCCUCCCCCUGGUUGCCCUAUGACCAGCUUUGGCAGGAAUCAUUGUGUAAGUAAAUGCAAACUUCCAUUCUAUUGAGAAACUUAAAGGAAGUGGUUGUAACUGUCUAAA
This is a long non-coding RNA of Macadamia integrifolia, 1635 nucleotides long. RefSeq lists it as uncharacterized. NCBI's taxonomy places the organism in Eukaryota, Viridiplantae, Streptophyta, Magnoliopsida, Proteales, Proteaceae. The record is from RefSeq and is a predicted model, not a curated record. The transcript has 3 exons.